GGAGGAAAAGAAACCAACAGGGAUUGCCUCAGUAACGGCGAGUGAAGCGGCAAAAGCUCAAAUUUGAAAUCCCCCCGGGGAGUUGUAAUUUGAAGAUUGCGUCUUGGAGGCGACCGUGUCUAUGUUCCUUGGAACAGGACGUCACAGAGGGUGAGAAUCCCGUGCGGCACGGCCCCCGGCUCCUUAUAAGGCGCUCUCGACGAGUCGAGUUGUUUGGGAAUGCAGCUCAAAGUGGGUGGUAAAUUCCAUCUAAAGCUAAAUACAGGCGAGAGACCGAUAGCGAACAAGUACAGUGAUGGAAAGAUGAAAAGCACUUUGAAAAGAGAGUGAAACAGCACGUGAAAUUGUUGAAAGGGAAGGGCAUGCCGUCAGAUUGUCAGUGUGGGUAAGAAGCGGGGUACAAAGACUGUGGAACGUGGCCCUCGGGUGUUAUAGCCGCAGUUCAUGCCCCGUCUCUUUCCGAGGCCUGCUUUGAGGACACCGACGUAAUGACGGUACGCCGCCCGUCUUGAACCACCGGACCA
This 524-nucleotide ribosomal RNA is filed under the name Kodamaea ohmeri. Its description in RNAcentral is "partial 26S ribosomal RNA". It matches the Rfam family "Eukaryotic large subunit ribosomal RNA", at positions 52 to 668 of the family's 3401-position model. The record is from RNAcentral. Lineage: Eukaryota; Fungi; Ascomycota; Pichiomycetes; Serinales; Debaryomycetaceae.